GUCCACGCUGUAAACUAUGUGUGCUUGACGUCGGGGGGCCUAGCCCUUCGGUGUCGGAGCUAACGCGGUAAGCACACCGCCUGGGUAGUACGGUCGCAAGAUUAAAACUCAAAGGAAUUGACGGGGGCCCGCACAAGCGGUGGAGCAUGUGGUUCAAUUCGAUGCAACGCGCAGAACCUUACCAGCCCUUGACAUGGGAAGUAUGGAACAGAGAGAUCUGUUCCUUCAGUUCGGCUGGCUUCCACACAGGUGCUGCAUGGCUGUCGU
RNAcentral lists this ribosomal RNA (267 nucleotides) under uncultured bacterium. RNAcentral's name for it is "partial 16S ribosomal RNA". It matches the Rfam family "Bacterial small subunit ribosomal RNA", at positions 793 to 1055 of the family's 1533-position model. The record is from RNAcentral.